This 1769-nucleotide small RNA is filed under the name Drosophila mojavensis. RNAcentral describes it as "GI26712". The record is from RNAcentral. Lineage: Eukaryota; Metazoa; Arthropoda; Insecta; Diptera; Drosophilidae.
GACAAUGGAACACCCAAAUGCAUUGUGAAACUGUGAUAAAUCUGGUUUGGCUAAAAACACACAACACAACAGAGAGAUCAAACGAGAUGAGGCGGCAACUAGAAAUAAGGCCUAUUUCCAAAGCCGUAACAAUUUCCAACAAAUAAAAUGUUUAUCAUUUGUUUUGUGACAUGCACAACGGGGUGUGCGAAUUACAGUCGAGCCCUGGACACAGCCCUGACUGCCCUCGUCCUGUCGUCCCUUUGCGGCUGAGCCUGAUAAUGACAUUACCCAGCGGCCAAGCACUGCAUGACGUCACAGCGCUGCCACACCAGGUCACAAACAUAAAGCGACAAAUUGACGCAAACAUUUAACACACACAUUGCCCCGCCCCUCCCCAACAAGGAUCGCAGAACGCAAUGCUCAGGACAUGGUCAACAGGGCUAUAGAAGGGCCUGCAGCAGGGCGUUGGCGGCUUCUCUUGAUGGUGGAACACCUACGAAAAAAUUCCUUUGAAUUACGUUGUUGCAGCGCCUGCCAGCCUGCCUGCUUGCAUGUAUGUGUGUCGGUUUUUUUUUUUUUUUUUUUUGUUAAGCCCUGAGCUAUGCGCAAAAAAGGACAUCUUCGCUGGCUGUGCACUCCAUUAUGCAUUUUAUGUGCGCCCUCAUUCAGUGUCUGUUGACAUUUUUAUUCCAAGCAGUUAAGCAAUAUUUCCAUUAACGUGUGGUCGGAUCGGAGUCCAACAAUCUAUAAAUGAGACCUCAAGCUUUAACUCUAUCCUGUUUUCUAUGCUAAUUCGCUGUUAAUUGAUGCACAAACAUUUCGGUAUUUAUUGUUGUUGGCUAGUCGCAGUGGGCAGGACUUGAAGGCACCUUGAAUGGAGGGCUCAUUUAAUUGAAUCAAAAUAUUUUUGCACGCACCAAUUCAAUUUACAUUGUUUAUAUGGAGCAGGAGCCAGAGUGAUUGCCGCAGGACCUGUCGCUGUGAGUCCUGGCUGCUGCUGCUGCUACUGCUGCUACUACGGUUUGCUUAAUUAUAGGGCCAAAAGGCAAAGCGACGUCUGCUACUUGCUAGGUAAUCAGCCUUUCAGUCGUUUUGGCUACCGUAUUAAAAGGACGAACGCUUGAUGAUGAUUGAUUAGGCGCUGGGUAAGACAAGCCAACCAAGCCAAGCCUAGCCGAGUCAAUCACCGAUGAGCUUCUUAUGUAGGCCAAGCAUCUUUUGCAUCUGCUCAGCUGCGACAACUGUGCAAAUGCAGCGCGUGGCUAAGAGACCCACAGAGCGGGGCAGCUGUAGCUCUAGCUGUAGCUGAAGCUAAACAACAAAUCGAAAACUGAUUUGGAGCGGAAGUUCGUUUGCACCUUUCAGCAGUUUCCUGUGUGUGCAAAGCAACAACAGCGACAACCACAACAACAACAGCAACAACUAUACAAACGCUCACAUCUGUACAUAUGUACAUAGUAGUAUGUUUGUAUAUAGCACACGCAUGUCAAGACUUCAUUUGUAAUUUGCGCUACUUCGACGUUUGGCCUUUGACGCCGCAUUCCUUUGUCUUGGAACUGAACGCAACGGAACGGGGCGGGGCGAGCGCGCGAUAUAUUCGCAAAUCAAAAGCUAUAUAGAUUAAGAUUGCCCUCCUGUGUAUAUAUAGGGAAACGCAAAGGAUCUGGGCAUAUAUAUGCAAAGCGCUGCCAAGGAGCAGCUGUCGCCGUUGUUUGAUUUGCGAUUGCGACGCUGGCGGAAAUGGAAUGACACGCAAGGCACAAAGGCAGCCCGACAGCCCAGCCCUA